AUACUUACCCAACAGGGGAGAUAACGUGAUCACGAAGGUGGUUUUCCCAGGGCAAGGCUCAUCCAUUGCACUCCAGGUGUUGCACUCCUGCGAUUUCCCCAAAUGUGGGGAACUCGGCUGCAUAAUUUGUAGUAGGGAGGAGCUGUAUUCAUGCUUCCCCCUGG
Molecule: small nuclear RNA, 164 nt
Filed under: Cervus elaphus hippelaphus
Lineage: Eukaryota; Metazoa; Chordata; Mammalia; Artiodactyla; Cervidae
Rfam family: U1 spliceosomal RNA
About the family: U1 is a small nuclear RNA (snRNA) component of the spliceosome (involved in pre-mRNA splicing). Its 5' end forms complementary base pairs with the 5' splice junction, thus defining the 5' donor site of an intron. There are significant differences in sequence and secondary structure between metazoan and yeast U1 snRNAs, the latter being much longer (568 nucleotides as compared to 164 nucleotides in human).
Source: RNAcentral